Molecule: ribosomal RNA, 339 nt
Filed under: uncultured Pseudomonadota bacterium
Lineage: Bacteria; Pseudomonadati; Pseudomonadota
Description: bacterial SSU rRNA
Rfam family: Bacterial small subunit ribosomal RNA
Source: RNAcentral
AACGAACGCUGGCGGCGUGCUUAACACAUGCAAGUCGCGCGAGAAAGGGGCUUCGGCUCCGAGUAAAGCGGCGCACGGGUGCGUAACACGUGGAUAAUCUGCCUUCAGGGCCGGGAUAACCUUCCGAAAGGAGGGCUAAUACCGGAUGAGCCCACGGGACCCUCGGGUCCUGGGGGAAAAGCUGGCCUCUGUAAACAAGCUAGUGCCUGAAGAUGAGUCCGCGGCCCAUCAGCUAGUUGGCGGGGUAAUGGCCCACCAAGGCAACGACGGGUAGCUGGUCUGAGAGGACGAUCAGCCACACUGGAACUGAGACACGGUCCAGACUCCUACGGGUGGCAG